UAUUAGGGGUGUGCAGAAUAAUUCAACCCGACCGAAACCCGAAAAACCCGAAAAAACAAUAACUGAUGCGGACGGUUCGGGUCGGAUGGCGGGUAUUUAAAUGGCUAAAUUCAGUUAAGAGUGAGUUAUCACGGACGGGUCCGGAUUUAAAAAUUUUAAUUUAUCGGUGUCCGAACCCGACCACCUAAAUAUGUACAGAGCCUAUAUAUACUAGUAUGGUUGAAACCAGAUGUUUACUAUCUGACAAAAAGGUGAGGCUAUGUCAUAGUCAAUCAACUUUUUAUUUCUUGCGUGUUGCAAUUGCCAUAAGCCUCUGUCCC
RNAcentral lists this long non-coding RNA (320 nucleotides) under Trifolium pratense (red clover). RNAcentral describes it as "long non-coding RNA (TPRA_LNC006178)". Lineage: Eukaryota; Viridiplantae; Streptophyta; Magnoliopsida; Fabales; Fabaceae. The record is from RNAcentral.